Molecule: ribosomal RNA, 766 nt
Filed under: Myroides sp. JSM 111073
Lineage: Bacteria; Pseudomonadati; Bacteroidota; Flavobacteriia; Flavobacteriales; Flavobacteriaceae
Description: bacterial SSU rRNA
Rfam family: Bacterial small subunit ribosomal RNA
Source: RNAcentral
CUUGAAUAGUAUGGAAGUAACUAGAAUAUGUAGUGUAGCGGUGAAAUGCUUAGAUAUUACAUGGAAUACCAAUUGCGAAGGCAGGUUACUACGUACUUAUUGACGCUGAUGAACGAAAGCGUGGGUAGCGAACAGGAUUAGAUACCCUGGUAGUCCACGCCGUAAACGAUGGAUACUAGCUGUUCGGACUUCGGUUUGAGUGGCUAAGCGAAAGUGAUAAGUAUCCCACCUGGGGAGUACGUUCGCAAGAAUGAAACUCAAAGGAAUUGACGGGGGCCCGCACAAGCGGUGGAGCAUGUGGUUUAAUUCGAUGAUACGCGAGGAACCUUACCAGGGCUUAAAUGUAGAUUGACAGGUUUGGAAACAGACUUUUCUUCGGACAAUUUACAAGGUGCUGCAUGGUUGUCGUCAGCUCGUGCCGUGAGGUGUCAGGUUAAGUCCUAUAACGAGCGCAACCCCUAUUGUUAGUUACCAGCGCGUUAAGGCGGGGACUCUAGCAAGACUGCCGGUGCAAACCGUGAGGAAGGUGGGGAUGACGUCAAAUCAUCACGGCCCUUACGUCCUGGGCUACACACGUGCUACAAUGGCAAGUACAGAAAGCAGCUACCUGGCAACAGGAUGCGAAUCUCCAAAGCUUGUCUCAGUUCGGAUUGGAGUCUGCAACUCGACUCUAUGAAGCUGGAAUCGCUAGUAAUCGGAUAUCAGCCAUGAUCCGGUGAAUACGUUCCCGGGCCUUGUACACACCGCCCGUCAAGCCAUGGAAGCU